CUAACCAUGCAAAUUGGCGAAAGACAAACAUCAAAUGAAAUUCAAAGAAACUGAUAUAGCAUGCAUUGUUAAGCACGUGAAUAACAUCAACACAUAGUUUAGCAUUAAGUAAUGAUAAUGCUGUUCAAAUGAGAAAAACUCCAAACUGACAUUCAUUUUUCCUUGUACAUAAAUACAAAAUUUGAGAUAGCUAAGCAAAAAUCCACCGCUACUCAAGCCACCCCUUGCCUUUGGUGUUCCAUUCGGUGCUUGAUUUUCCAGUACGGAUCGUCACGUUCAUAGAAAUGUGGGUUUCUUGUUCAUGGUUAAGCCGAACUUGCGACUAAAAUAUGCGGCGCAUAUCGUUAACUGAUUCGAUCAGAUCCAAUUGUGAAGCCCUUUGAAGAAUUUACCUUUGUUGAUUGUAGCCCUUUCUACCUCAAAGCACUUUUGAAAAUCUUGCUUACAUGUUGGGCAUCGGAUUUUUAUCGAGCAUUCGGCAAAGAAGUGGAUCUUACUCCUGCAGCUGUGACAUACUCCAGAAUUCUUUCCCAGCAUUCUAACAUGGGAUUCAGACACCAAAAACAAAAGUUAAACGAUAAAUGUGAAGUAUGACCAAUCAUUCGGAACACUUGCUCUACGACAAUGGCUUCACCAAAUACAACUUUUAUGCAAUAUACCCUGUUUCUUAUAAUCCGUAAAUGCACUAUACAUUCUUCUCAAAUUAUAAUUGUUGAAGGAUAGUGUAUUCCCAAAUCAAACCAAAAAGGGAUUAACAUAAACCAAACAUUGAAAAUUCAUAAAUUCUCAUAAUUAAAACCUUAUUUUAAACUACGAAGGGUAAUGUUCAAAGUAAAAACAUUUCAACAAUGUGAAACCCUACUGUUCAAAUCGAUGUUUACAGUUAUAAGGGUUAAUUUACACCAAAGUGUCGAAAAAUCGUAAUUUCUCAACGUAAAGAUGUAUCAAACAACAUACAUCUUAAAGUAUAACGAACAAUGCUUACUGUCAAGCUAAUGUUUUGAAAUUUGGUGGAAUUGAUAUUGGAGAUCUGAAGAUAGUCAGCCGACGAGUUCGCGGUGGCUGGAGGUAGGAGACGGUGAUGAAUUUGUCGAUACUCGACGGUGUAUGUUACCAGAUGGCCUGAGGUGUCGAGAUGGUUGGAGGUGACGAGUGCACUGGGGUCGUGGAUUCCCGUGAUUUGGAAUAGUAAGAGACGUCGCCAGAAUUGGGGAGAAGUUGGGGAGAGGAUGGAGGGUUUUUUCCUUUUGCCUUUGGUACCAAUAAUGGACUGACGCCG
RNAcentral lists this long non-coding RNA (1279 nucleotides) under Olea europaea subsp. europaea. The record is from RNAcentral. Lineage: Eukaryota; Viridiplantae; Streptophyta; Magnoliopsida; Lamiales; Oleaceae.